CCCACUGCUAUCGAGAUGGGACUAAGGUAUGCUAGUCGAACGACCAGAAUUAUGUCUGGGAGUGGCACACUGCUCAGUAACACGUAGCUAACCUACCCUUAGGACGUGGAUACCCCCGAGAAAUUGGGGUUAAUCCGCGAUAGAUGUAAUGUCCUGGAAUGGUAUUACGUCUAAAGGUAUUUCAUACAUGUUUGAAAUAUGCCUAAGGAUGGGGCUGCGGCCGAUCAGGCUGUUGGUGAGGUAAUGGCUCACCAAACCUUUGACCGGUACGGGCCAUGAGAGUGGUAGCCCGGAGAUGGACACUGAGACAAGGGUCCAGGCCCUACGGGGCGCAGCAGGCGCGAAACCUCCUCAAUGCACUCACGUGCGAUGGGGCUAUCUCGAGUGCCACCUGAUGAAGGUGGCUUUUCCUUGGUCUUCAAAGCCUUGGGAAUAAGAGGGGGGCAAGACUGGUGUCAGCCGCCGCGGUAACACCAGCCCCUCGAGUGGUGGGGAUGAUUAUUUGGCCUAAAGCGUCCGUAGCCGGCCGGGUAAGUUUCCCGUUAAAUCCAGCGUCUCAAGCGUUGGACUGCGGGAAAUACUGCCUGGCUAGAGAGUGGGAGAGGUCAGCGGUAUUCUGGGGGUAGGGGCGAAAUCCUUUGAUCCCCGGAGGACCACCAGUGGCGAAGGCUGCUGACUAGAACACGUCUGACGGUCAGGGACGAAAGCUGGGGUAGCGAGCCGGAUUAGAUACCCGGGUAGUCCCAGCCGUAAACGAUGCAUGCUAGGUGUUGGGUUGGCCACGAGCCACCCCAGUGCCGCAGGGAAGCCGUUAAGCAUGCCGCCUGGGAAGUACGAUCGCAAGAUUGAAACUUAAAGGAAUUGGCGGGGGAGCACCACCAGGCGUGAAGCCUGCGGUUUAAUUGGAUUCAACGCCGGA
This 919-nucleotide ribosomal RNA is filed under the name uncultured archaeon. RNAcentral's name for it is "bacterial SSU rRNA". It matches the Rfam family "Archaeal small subunit ribosomal RNA", at positions 23 to 922 of the family's 1478-position model. The record is from RNAcentral.